Molecule: ribosomal RNA, 253 nt
Filed under: uncultured bacterium
Lineage: Bacteria
Description: partial 16S ribosomal RNA
Rfam family: Bacterial small subunit ribosomal RNA
Source: RNAcentral
CACGUAGGAGACAAACGUUAUCCGGAGUUACUGGGCGUAAAGGGCGUGUAGGUGGUAUCGUAAGUCUGGCGUGAAAUUUCUCGGCUUAACCGAGGCAGGUCGUCGGAUACUGCGAGGCUAGAGGACGGUAGAGGCGUGUGGAAUUCCGGGUGUAGUGGUGAAAUGCGUAGAGAUCCGGAGGAACACCAGUGGCGAAGGCGACACGCUGGGCCGUACCUGACACUGAUGCGCGACAGCAUGGGGAGCAAACAGG